AUGGAGACCACCCUGCAAAGUUCCUGGAUGGGGGUUCUGUGGGAGAGAGACUUUGAAGACUGUGGAGAGGAGCCUGAGCCUUCAACAGACGCUGUGGUUGAUGACAUCAUCACUAUAGCAGAGUCCCUAGGCUUGCAGGUAGACAGUGGAGAUGUUGAGGAACUGGUGGAGGAACCUUCAGAAUUGUCUACAGAGGAACUUACUUCAGAAACUCUGGCUGAGCAACAGAGAAUGGCAGCUGAGGAGCUUUCUGAAGAGGAGGAGGAGGACUAUCAACAAUCAGUGCAGCAAAGUUCUUUUGAAAUAAAGGACAUCCUGAAAAAAUGGGCAAACCCAAAGAUCCAAAAAAGACUCAAUCUUCUCUACAAUCUUUGUUGGGAAUUUCUUAAAUGUAAUCUUUCCAAGCUUUGUAUAGAAAAAGCCAUUUGAUACAUUCACUUUCUUAAUGACAAUGUCACAUCAUACUACAGAAUAGUGUUAAAGAAAAAGGCAGAAACAGUCUUAAGCCAGUUUUUGAUUAUGAAAAUGUUGAUACCUACUGAGCCAGAAGC
RNAcentral lists this long non-coding RNA (551 nucleotides) under Fukomys damarensis (Damara mole-rat). RNAcentral describes it as "lncRNA (ENSFDAG00000026386.1)". The record is from RNAcentral. Lineage: Eukaryota; Metazoa; Chordata; Mammalia; Rodentia; Bathyergidae.